AUACGGAGGGUGCGAGCGUUAAUCGGAAUUACUGGGCGUAAAGGGUCCGUAGGCGGUCUGCUUAGUCUGAUGUGAAAGCCCCGGGCUUAACCUGGGAAUGGCAUUGGAUACUGGCGGACUGGAGUCUGGUAGAGGGUGGUGGAAUUCCCGGUGUAGCGGUGAAAUGCGUAGAGAUCUGGAGGAACACCAGUGGCGAAGGCGGCUACCUGGACCAAAACUGACGCUGAGGUACGAAAGCGUGGGGAGCAAACAGGAUUAGAAACCCCAGUAGUCC
RNAcentral lists this ribosomal RNA (274 nucleotides) under uncultured bacterium. RNAcentral's name for it is "partial 16S ribosomal RNA". It matches the Rfam family "Bacterial small subunit ribosomal RNA", at positions 523 to 796 of the family's 1533-position model. The record is from RNAcentral.